RNAcentral lists this long non-coding RNA (1017 nucleotides) under Nicotiana tabacum (common tobacco). RNAcentral's name for it is "long non-coding RNA (NTAB_LNC004288)". Lineage: Eukaryota; Viridiplantae; Streptophyta; Magnoliopsida; Solanales; Solanaceae. The record is from RNAcentral.
GAGAAAUGGUCCAAAUUGUUGAAAUCUUUAAGCCGAGGUCAGUUUUCAUAUCUUGCUUUUGAAUUAAUGAUGAGAGAUUUCUUUGGGUUAAUUAGUGUUUUGACCAUUUAAUUUUAUAGUUAAUCAGAAGGAUGUGUUCAAUUUUGGAAGAAUAUUUGUGUUUGAUGUUCGAAAUUAAAGCAGUGAAACUUCUGUUUAAUUUCAAUUGUUUGCUUAAGUUUAGGCAAAUUGCAUACAAAUGGGAAAGAGGAAAGGAAUAUACUAAGCAAGUUAUAUGCAUAUGCUUUGAACAACCUAUGUCAAAUGGAUAUACAUGGUUAUGUAAAUUGAUUUGAUUCCUUAAAAAUACAGUAGAACUUUACAACUUGAAUAUCCACUUCUGAUCUGCACGAUACUUCUACACGAAUGAGGGCCAGCUGAAGAAGUAUCAUUCUUGCACUAUUUUGAGGCAAAAUGGCUGUUACAAUCAGUGGAAGAGAGCUCGACUGGAACUUUGAUAGCUGAAUGGAAGCCAGUCGAGACAUGCUUUCCAAGAAGCCAUCUUGGGCUGGGGUUAGCAUAGAUUGAAGGGAACGUCCUAGUCUUGUUGGCAGCCAACUUAAUGGGUUGCGAGUCAGGAAAAGUGCAGGUCGCUGGUCUUGGUGCCACAUAACUAAGAGAGCCAUUUCAUUUAGGGCAAGAAAGAAUGCACGGGCACGAACAUUGCCAGUUCUCAUUAGGUAUGUCGCGGUCCAGAAAAUUGGAAGAACCAUGAGCACCAGUGUUAAAGGAGGCUGAGCUAAAUAGAGCUAUGUAGAGGGAAUUCUGAUCUUCCAAUUCCUCCCCGUCACUGAUUGAUGGGAGUUUCCUUCGAGCAGCUUAGGAUUAUCUGGAACAUUAAACAAGGAGUUAUUUAAGCUAUCAACCACAACAGUUGUAAGCAGAGUUAUGCAAAAAGUUUAUUAACUUAAUCUCAACCUGGAGUUUCAUCAUUCAUGUUUGAGAUUCUUCAAAAUGUUACCAGAAACUAUUUUCCCG